Long non-coding RNA from Manis javanica (Malayan pangolin), 381 nucleotides. RefSeq lists it as uncharacterized. NCBI's taxonomy places the organism in Eukaryota, Metazoa, Chordata, Mammalia, Pholidota, Manidae. The record is from RefSeq and is a predicted model, not a curated record.
GAAAUGGGAGAGAAUUGAUUGUCUUAGAGAAUUUUUGCAAAAAGAAUGGGUAACUUGUGGGGGUAACAGCUUGCACAAAUCAAAGAUUCUGUGUCUGCUGCAAGCAAGAUUUGAGCAGAUGCCUAAGGACAGAAGGAAGGCCGACAUGAAAAAGCAGCAACAUGUGGGGAACAGCUUGGCUGGAUGCUACACGGGGAGCCUCCCGAAGCUCCUCCCAUUCUUCCCCUCCAGCCUUCCUUGGGGACAGUGUACGGUGGUGGCUGCCAGCCCAGGCCCUGGAUCCGACAGUUCUGGCUUCACUUCUGGCUCAGCCAUUCACCAUCCAUGCUACUUACCUUGGGCCUCACUCGGAAUGGGAAUAAACACACUUAGCUCAUAGGA